CAAAAAUGGACACAAUAUUAGCACUUGAUACAGGUCUUAAUUUGUAUUGUAAUUAAAUAUUUGACACAUAAUAACUGCAGUCAAAGAACUUAAAAUUGAUUAUAUGAUUUGAAUUUAUAUUCAACUAUUUGCUUUUGUGCACUACACUAUACUGUUUCAAAUUGUUUUCCCUCAAGACAUGGUCAUAUUACAUAAUCUCAAAUUUCUAAUGAAGUUUGCAACCACAAUUACCCAUUUAAAUACAUUGUACUUUAAAUGAGAUUGGAUUACCUCCCUUAGACUGCUUUAACAUUUUCUUGAUUGUCCAUUAACCAGGAAACCCUUGUUUCCCCCCUUUUUUGCCUCCAGUUCCUAAAUGGUUUGAGCCAUAUUCCCCCAAGGUCAAUCCUAACCAUCCCUUUGUGGUAUGGAAACUUGUGGUAUAAUUUCAGAGAGAUUCAUACACUUAAACACAAGUUAUUGUCUGGAAACUACUAUAAUGCUUAUUUGGGCCCCUUUUUUGGUCCCCAAUUCCUAAACUGUUGGGACAAUAACCCCCAGAUCAAUCCCAACAUUCCUUUUGAGGUUAUGAACCUUAUGUUUAACAAAUUAAAUAAAGAAAAUAAGGAAAAAUGGUAAAAAAAAUUAAAGAAUCCAGACCCUCAUAAAUAGUGUGUUUUUGUAUAACCAGUGCUAUAUUAUUUGAUAAUAUUCAGGAUAAAGAACCAUUUCAGAUGUGAUAAUAACUGGAACCCUGCUUUUAAGUGAUAAUUCUAUUUAUAGCAGUUUUGACAUGUGACACAUGGGUGAAAAGGGGGAGGGGG
This 803-nucleotide long non-coding RNA is filed under the name Mytilus galloprovincialis (Mediterranean mussel). The record is from RNAcentral. Lineage: Eukaryota; Metazoa; Mollusca; Bivalvia; Mytilida; Mytilidae.